UGUACCUACGGGACGCAGCAGUGGGGGAUAUUGCACAAUGGGGGAAACCCUGAUGCAGCGACGCCGCGUGUGGGAAGACGGUCUUCUGGAUUGUAAACCACUGUCCCCAGGGACGAAAAUGACGGUACCUGGGGAGGAAGCUCCGGCUAACUACGUGCCAGCAGCCGCGGUAAUACGUAGGGAGCAAGCGUUGUCCGGAAUUACUGGGUGUAAAGGGAGCGUAGACGGUGUGGCACGUCUGAAGUGAAAGCCCGGGGCUCAACCCCGGGCCUGCUUUGGACACUGUCAUGCUGGAGUGCUG
This 301-nucleotide ribosomal RNA is filed under the name uncultured bacterium. RNAcentral's name for it is "bacterial SSU rRNA". It matches the Rfam family "Bacterial small subunit ribosomal RNA", at positions 335 to 651 of the family's 1533-position model. The record is from RNAcentral.